Molecule: non-coding RNA, 194 nt
Organism: Oryza nivara
Lineage: Eukaryota; Viridiplantae; Streptophyta; Magnoliopsida; Poales; Poaceae
Source: Rfam
UUUAAGUGCAACCAUAAUUUUCCGCGCUCAAUUUUGAUCGUCUGUUCUAUUUAAUUUUUUUAUAUAAUUAAUGUUUUUAUUGUUAUAAGAUGAUAAAACAAGAAUAAUACCUUACUCGUGACAUAUGUUUUUAUUUUUUAUUAAAUAAGAUGAACGGUUAAAGUUAAGCACGAAAAACUAUACCUACACUUAAA